Molecule: ribosomal RNA, 332 nt
Filed under: uncultured bacterium
Lineage: Bacteria
Description: bacterial SSU rRNA
Rfam family: Bacterial small subunit ribosomal RNA
Source: RNAcentral
UGCGUAGGCGGCUCAGAAAGUAGGGUGUGAAAGCCCUCGGCUCAACCGAGGAAUUGCGCCCUAAACUACUGGGCUCGAGGAACGCAGAGGUAAGCGGAACUUACGGUGGAGCGGUGAAAUGCGUUGAUAUCGUAAGGAACACCAGGAGCGAAAGCGGCUUACUGGGCGUUUUCUGACGCUGAUGCACGAAAGCUAGGGGAGCGAACGGGAUUAGAUACCCCGGUAGUCCUAGCCGUAAACGAUGAGCACUGGAUUGGAGGCCCCCCCAUAGGCUUCUAGUCGUAGCGAAAGUGUUAAGUGCUCCGCCUGGGGAGUAUGGUCGCAAGGCUGAA